This 78-nucleotide transfer RNA is filed under the name Candidatus Bathyarchaeota archaeon. Its description in RNAcentral is "tRNA-Arg". It matches the Rfam family "tRNA". Rfam says of the family: Transfer RNA (tRNA) molecules are approximately 80 nucleotides in length. Their secondary structure includes four short double-helical elements and three loops (D, anti-codon, and T loops). The record is from RNAcentral. Lineage: Archaea; Thermoproteati; Candidatus Bathyarchaeota.
GGGCCCGUAGCGCAGUCAGGAUAGCGCAGCAGCCUCCUAAGCUGUUGGUCACGGGUUCAAAUCCCGUCGGGCCCGCCA